GCUAGAAGUAGUACAGCCCUGCCUACAGGCUGCCAAGGAACAAAAGGAAAUCCACACUCCAAAGUGGAUCACUCCAGUACUUCUUCUGAUAGACUUUUAUGAGAAAACAGCUAUUUCCUCCAAGAGGAGAGUGCAGAUGGAUAAGUUUCUGCAGGCUAACAGCAGUAAUUGGCGUUGGUUUGAUGAUCGAUCUGGACGUUGGUGUAGCUAUAGUGCAAGCAACAAUAACACAAUUGAUACGGCCUGGAAAGCUGGGGAGACAAGUGUACGAUUCACAGCAGGCAGACGGAGAUACACAAUCCAGUUCACUACAAUGGUACAGGUAUGAUA
Vombatus ursinus (common wombat) is the source of this 330-nucleotide long non-coding RNA. RefSeq lists it as uncharacterized. The record is from RefSeq and is a predicted model, not a curated record. The transcript has 3 exons. Lineage: Eukaryota; Metazoa; Chordata; Mammalia; Diprotodontia; Vombatidae.